RNAcentral lists this ribosomal RNA (465 nucleotides) under Vreelandella stevensii. Its description in RNAcentral is "partial 16S ribosomal RNA". It matches the Rfam family "Bacterial small subunit ribosomal RNA", at positions 338 to 795 of the family's 1533-position model. Lineage: Bacteria; Pseudomonadati; Pseudomonadota; Gammaproteobacteria; Oceanospirillales; Halomonadaceae. The record is from RNAcentral.
CCUACGGGUGGCAGCAGUGGGGAAUAUUGGACAAUGGGGGCAACCCUGAUCCAGCCAUGCCGCGUGUGUGAAGAAGGCCCUCGGGUUGUAAAGCACUUUCAGUGAGGAAGAACGCCUGGUGGUUAAUACCCAUCAGGAAAGACAUCACUCACAGAAGAAGCACCGGCUAACUCCGUGCCAGCAGCCGCGGUAAUACGGAGGGUGCGAGCGUUAAUCGGAAUUACUGGGCGUAAAGCGCGCGUAGGUGGCUUGAUAAGCCGGUUGUGAAAGCCCCGGGCUCAACCUGGGAACGGCAUCCGGAACUGUCAAGCUAGAGGGCAGGAGAGGAAGGUAGAAUUCCCGGUGUAGCGGUGAAAUGCGUAGAGAUCGGGAGGAAUACCAGUGGCGAAGGCGGCCUUCUGGACUGACACUGACAAUGAGGUGCGAAAGCGUGGGUAGCAAACAGGAUUAGAUACCCUUGUAGUC